AACGAACGCUGGCGGCAUGCCUCAUACAUGCAAGUCGAACGAGGUCCUCGGACCUAGUGGCGCACGGGUGAGUAACAUGUGGGAAUCUACCUGAAGGUUCGGAAUAACUGCGGGAAACUGUAGCUAAUACCGGAUGUGUCUGAAAAGAGAAAGAUUUAUCGCCUUCAGAUGAGCCCGCACUAGAUUAGCUAGUUGGUGAGGUAAUUGCUCCACCAAGGCUACGAUCUAUAGCUGAUUUGAGAGGAUGAUCAGCCACACUGGGACUGAGACACGGCCCAGACUCCUACGGGAGGCAGCAGUAGGGAAUAUUGGACAAUGGGGGAAACCCUGAUCCAGCAAUGCCGCGUGAGUGAAGAAGGCCUUCGGGUUGUAAAGCUCUUUCAUCAAUGAUGAUAAUGACUAUUAGUUGAAGAAGAAGCCCCGGCUAACUUCGUGCCU
Molecule: ribosomal RNA, 438 nt
Filed under: uncultured bacterium
Lineage: Bacteria
Description: bacterial SSU rRNA
Rfam family: Bacterial small subunit ribosomal RNA
Source: RNAcentral